GCCCUGGUAGCUCAGCUGGAUAGAGCACGCGCCUCCUAAGCGCGGGGUCGCAGGUUCGAAUCCUGCUCAGGGCGCCA
This 77-nucleotide transfer RNA is filed under the name Gammaproteobacteria bacterium. RNAcentral describes it as "tRNA-Arg". It matches the Rfam family "tRNA". Rfam says of the family: Transfer RNA (tRNA) molecules are approximately 80 nucleotides in length. Their secondary structure includes four short double-helical elements and three loops (D, anti-codon, and T loops). Further hydrogen bonds mediate the characteristic L-shaped molecular structure. tRNAs have two regions of fundamental functional importance: the anti-codon, which is responsible for specific mRNA codon recognition, and the 3' end, to which the tRNAs corresponding amino acid is attached (by aminoacyl-tRNA synthetases). tRNAs cope with the degeneracy of the genetic code in two manners: having more than one tRNA (with a specific anti-codon) for a particular amino acid; and 'wobble' base-pairing, i.e. permitting non-standard base-pairing at the 3rd anti-codon position. Lineage: Bacteria; Pseudomonadati; Pseudomonadota; Gammaproteobacteria. The record is from RNAcentral.